GGGGUUGGGGCUCAGUGGUAGACUGCUCGCCUAGCAUGUGUGAGGCACUGGGUUCAAUCCUCAGCACCACA
RNAcentral lists this transfer RNA (71 nucleotides) under Marmota monax (woodchuck). RNAcentral describes it as "tRNA.Ala". The record is from RNAcentral. Lineage: Eukaryota; Metazoa; Chordata; Mammalia; Rodentia; Sciuridae.